AAGGAAUAAAGAAUAAGAAUAGCUGCUAACUAAUUCUUAAAGCGGUUAAAUUCCGUUUGUUCCUUU
Molecule: transfer RNA, 66 nt
Filed under: Japananus hyalinus
Lineage: Eukaryota; Metazoa; Arthropoda; Insecta; Hemiptera; Cicadellidae
Description: tRNA-Ser
Source: RNAcentral